UGCUUGGUGAUGAUUCAACAUUCGUUAACGUUACUAUAUGACAAAAAGUUUCAAGCUUCGAAUAUAUCACGGGUCAUCACAUUUAAUCUUACGAUUGUACGUAAUUACAACCAAACGCGGAUUUCAAAGAAAGAUGUUACUUACAUGUAUCUCAAAAUCUACUUGAAUUAGCAGCACUGAGUGACAUUGACUCCAUCAUCGGCAAAUUCGAAUGGAAAAAGAAAUUCUGAACACAAAUUAAUCACUAUCACAAGUAUGGUCACACGAAAUUAUUCAUCCCCUUGUCAGUCAGUCCUAUAUCGUCAGUUUCACAGAUAACUGAAUAAAAUCAUGAAAAAUGUAGAAAGUACAUUAAAUAUUCAAAAAAUUGUUUCACGUCACAAAAUAGGUCGAUCAAGAUUUUCUACGUUCAGAGUCGAACACUUUUCACUUUAUAUCGACAAGUUUUAACGAGGCGAGAUUGAUCACGAUCUAUCUAACCUACGUUGUCAGUUUACUUCGUAGGUAGGAUUUCAACUGACGGUUCACGAGGUACCUAUCAGGUAGCAACUGUCAACGUUCGCCUUCUGACGCUUCUAUGAAUCCUCAAGAGUGGUAGAGGGGCAUCCCCGAUAAUACCACCUCUUGACCACUUCAUUUGUAUAAAGAAACCACAAUUUUGCAUGCGCAUGACGGCAGAAAAAAAGAAAGGACUUUACGCGAUGGUCCUUUCCCGGGGAUCAGAUUUCCAUGAGUCACGUUGAACGCGGAAACUACAUCAAAACAAUGCAAUUCUCACGACAUUAUAUGAUAAACGUUCAAAAUAGAACAACAUAUACAUAGUUACGCAGAUUGAUACAUCGAAAAUAUAUGAUUUAUUUCUGACGUUUUGUAAACAAAGAACGAUAUACUAAUAGAAAUAUGAUCGAAAUUACGAAGAAACAAAAAUAUGUCAUCUACUCAUCGUGAAAGUUUAAAAUCCAAAAUAUUGCUACGAUUAUAUUGGAAAAGAAAGAUUGAUUUAAUCUUCUAUGUUGCUAUUCAAACUACAUAGGUUCACUGUAAACCGAACGUCACGAUAUUUUGCUACCGUUUGUCGUGUAUAAAAUAUAUAGGUCGAUAUAUGCUAAUAUAUCGAUAUUUAUUUUGUGCAUGAUUUGUGUUGGAAUAUGCAAAUCCCAAGAGAGUACCAUCUGAUGAUGAUAAUAGUCAAUGUUACGGGUUAAUGAAGGAAUGUUGUAUUAUUACACACUUGUGCAAGAAUUUCAAUCGUUUAUUGAGAAACAGUUGUAUUUCGUGACUGGUAUACCAAUACAGUAAGAAGAAAAUCCCUCCUUUCAUGAGUUUUACAAGACGGAGUAUAUUCGAUUCUUAUAAUAGCUAUUUGUAAUAAAUCCUGCAAUAAUCCGCCUUUUAAAAUUCAUUAUGUUCAUGUCUG
RNAcentral lists this unclassified non-coding RNA (1417 nucleotides) under Bombus terrestris (buff-tailed bumblebee). RNAcentral describes it as "misc RNA ENSBTSG00005031972.1". The record is from RNAcentral. Lineage: Eukaryota; Metazoa; Arthropoda; Insecta; Hymenoptera; Apidae.